Molecule: long non-coding RNA, 461 nt
Organism: Neopsephotus bourkii (Bourke's parrot)
Lineage: Eukaryota; Metazoa; Chordata; Aves; Psittaciformes; Psittacidae
Exons: 3
Source: RefSeq, a predicted model, not a curated record
CUGCAUCUGAUGUAUGAAACUUAGGUGGGCUUUUAAAAGAUUUUGGGCUAAAUAGCAGAUUGAAGAAGCUACAAGCUGCUGGUAUUUGCUCCAUGAAACCAAUUGUCUUCUGAAGCUAAAAGCACCACUGAUAAUAUCUCAGCCCAAGGAGGAGCCAUGGACUCUGUGUCAUUAGCAUCUUCACGUAUGUCCAAGUGCUCUGUUCCUUAGUUUCAGACAGCUGCUUCUGAAACAUAUUCUAGAAGCUCUCCAAAUACAAGCAGCAGAGUGUGUGUCAGGCAGAAGUACUUAGAGCUGAGGGAUCCCUGCAAUCUUGAGAAACAAAUUAGCAAAGUAUUAACAGAUCAGAGUCUGCAGCUGCGCUGGAUGAAAGGCUUCCUAGGAACAGACACCCACGUUUUGGUUGUGUUCCCUUAGUUCUGGAACAGCACGAGAGAGGGGUAACUGUUAGAAGGGCACAG